This 2035-nucleotide long non-coding RNA is filed under the name Cucumis sativus (cucumber). RNAcentral's name for it is "long non-coding RNA (CSAT_LNC000597)". The record is from RNAcentral. Lineage: Eukaryota; Viridiplantae; Streptophyta; Magnoliopsida; Cucurbitales; Cucurbitaceae.
UUAUCAUCAUCAGCAUCCGAGAUAUCCUGAUUCAUUCCUUGUUGCUCAGGCUGAGACGCAAUGCACAUCUUUUAUACAUUGUCCCGCCUCAUUUCACCAUGCACAUUUUUAUACAUGGUUGUCUUUACCCUUUAUGUGCACAUUAUAGUUAGCUCAUUAGUAGGAAGUAGACUAAUGGUUUGAACACGAUUUCAUAAAUAUUGAUACAUAUAAAACAUACUUGAAAACCUAGCAUAAGUUUCUCAUAGAAAUCUCUUGAAAACAUUCGUGUUGAAAUAAGUAUUUCAAAUCAAUAAACAUUUUAUUAAGAAAGCUUGAAAUCGUGUAAAUCACUUUAAACAAACACUCACAUUACUUGGUUACUUAAACUUCAAAGACUUCUCUUCUUCUUCCUCUCGAAUAGCUACUUCCGCUAAACUUCAAUACUUUAAAUUUUCUCUUUAGAAUUUUAGAAUAACAAUACUUAUGAAUUUGGCUAAAGACCCCUAUUUAUACUAGUUCCAAAAUAGUUUAGUUAUCCUUAAACUCUUGUCAGCAACUCCUACUCGUAGUGGUACAUGUGUAAGCUUAAGAUUUAACUUAAUCAUGUUUAGCUUAAACCUUCACACAUGGCCCAUUAAGUAAACUUAGAAAAAUUCUGAGAAGUUUUCUUACUUCUUCACGCCUAAUCUUUCAUCUCGUGUAGUACCUUAAUCGCAUACUAACACUUAAACGCCUAGAAGUCCUAUCACAUAACCUUUUCUCAAUGCAUACUUAACUUAAUUGUCAACUUCUUACCACAUAGAUUGCUCAAAACACCCUCUUUGAAACACUUGGCUAAUAAUUCAGCCUUUCUUAGGUACAGAUCUUAGUAAAACCAAAACAGAACCAACGUAAAAAAAAAAAAAACAAAAUUAUUUGAAAUCAGAUUCAACUCCAAAAUUCACAUUAAAGAAAGUUGAGAAUACAAUAACAUAUAAAGUUAAAUUCCUCGUAUCAACAACCAUUAUAUAUCAUAUUUAAAUUAAUGUUACAUGAAAUUAAAUGGUUUGACAAAUAAAUAAAAUCUCGUUUUGUUUUUAAUUUUAAAGACAAUAGAAAAGCACAUAAAUAAAAUUAAAAAGAAAAAGUAACAAAAAGGAAAAUGGUAGGAUUCACUAUUUUACCACCUUUGCCAUUUUUCACCAUUUUCUCUUCCCUCACUUCUUCUCCUUCGUUUUUUCCAUAUCAAUCCUCUUCACUUUAUUUUCUUAUUCUUCUUUUAUAAACUUCUUGUUUUAGUAUCCUUUUGUUACUAUUAUUGUCCUCAAAAUUGGUGCUCCAACACAAAUUCAAGCUGCCUUACACAUCAUUUUGAAAUUCCUAAUUUGUGAUGUCUCCAAAUUAAAGUUAUGCUUUCAUGGUUCUCGUCCUUUUGGCUAAAGGUUCUCAUCUACAACGUUCAACAUUUUUCUAACCAUCACAUUUUAUCCAUUCCAAUCGAAUUUAGGACAUGGGAUUGGAAACUGAGAUGCUUCGAAAGGGAAAAAAAAUGGUAAAAUUGGAAUUUAAGAACAUAAAAGUCUGACUUAGAUUAUUGUUGCUAUAUUUACGAAACCACAAACCUUAAAGCAAAAUACCUAAACUAUUUUGCCAUAUGGGUUUAGGCAGAGAGAGAGGAAUUUGUGAACUACAAAAUUGAGUUUUCUUUUUAACUCAAUCAAUAAUAAUUUGCAUAUUCUUGUGGUUUUGAAGGUGAACACAGAGUUCCACUAAAACUUGUUUCCUUUGAAAACGAACAGAGAGAGUAGUGAAGAAGAUGUUAACAAUUGAUAGUUAAACAAUGAAAAUAUAUACCAAUUACCUUGCAGAAUUAAAGAGUGUCCAAUAUAUGUUAAGAGAUGCUAUACAAAACUCCAACCUUUUUCCAUUGAAACGUUCGUUGAUGGUCAUCUAACCAAAUGCUUGAUAAUGGUUAGAUUUUGGAUGGUGAGAUGACCAACAACAAAAGUAUCGAUGGCUAAAGCAAUCGUCUCAUUCUGAGUCGUUCUCACCACACCAACUAAACACAAAGACC